RNAcentral lists this ribosomal RNA (256 nucleotides) under uncultured bacterium. Its description in RNAcentral is "partial 16S ribosomal RNA". It matches the Rfam family "Bacterial small subunit ribosomal RNA", at positions 524 to 778 of the family's 1533-position model. The record is from RNAcentral.
GACGAACCGUGCAAACGUUAUUCGGAAUCACUGGGCUUAAAGGGCGCGUAGGCGGGCCGCCAGGUCCGGGGUGAAAGCCUCCAGCUCAACUGGAGAAGUGCCUUGGAUACCGGCGGCCUCGAGGGAGGCAGGGGCGUGCGGAACUUCGGGUGGAGCGGUGAAAUGCGUAGAUAUCCGAAGGAACACCGGUGGCGAAAGCGGCGCGCUGGACCUCUACUGACGCUGAGGCGCGAAAGCCCAGGGGAGCGAAACGGGG